RNAcentral lists this transfer RNA (72 nucleotides) under Puccinia sorghi. It matches the Rfam family "tRNA". Rfam says of the family: Transfer RNA (tRNA) molecules are approximately 80 nucleotides in length. Their secondary structure includes four short double-helical elements and three loops (D, anti-codon, and T loops). Lineage: Eukaryota; Fungi; Basidiomycota; Pucciniomycetes; Pucciniales; Pucciniaceae. The record is from Rfam by way of RNAcentral.
GCAUCCUUAGUACAGUGGUUAGUACACUUCACGUGGACAUCAGAGACGUAGGUUCAAUUCCCACAGGACACA